AGUGGCGGACGGGUGAGUAACGCGUGAGAAUCUGCCUUCAGGUUCGGGACAACCACUGGAAACGGUGGCUAAUACCGAAUGUGCAGCAAUGUGAAAUAUUUAUAGCCUGAAGAUGAGCUCGCGUCUGAUUAGCUAGUAGGUGUGGUAAUAGCGCACCUAGGCGACGAUCAGUAGCUGGUCUGAGAGGAUGAUCAGCCACACUGGGACUGAGACACGGCCCAGACUCCUACGGGAGGCAGCAGUGGGGAAUUUUCCGCAAUGGGCGAAAGCCUGACGGAGCAAUACCGCGUGAGGGAGGAAGGCUCUUGGGUUGUAAACCUCUUUUCUCAGGGAAGAAAAAAAUGACGGUACCUGAGGAAUAAGCAUCGGCUAACUCCGUGCCAGCAGCCGCGGUAAUACGGAGGAUGCAAGCGUUAUCCGGAAUGAUUGGGCGUAAAGCGUCCGCAGGUGGCUAUGUAAGUCUGCUGUUAAAGAGUCUGGCUCAACCAGAUAAAGGCAGUGGAAACUACAUGGCUAGAGUGCGUUCGGGGCAGAGGGAAUUCCUGGUGUAGCGGUGAAAUGCGUAGAGAUCAGGAAGAACACCGGUGGCGAAAGCGCUCUGCUAGGCCGCAACUGACACUGAGGGACGAAAGCUAGGGGAGCGAAUGGGAUUAGAUACCCCAGUAGUCCUAGCCGUAAACGAUGGAUACUAGGCGUGGCUUGUAUCGACCCGAGCCGUGCCGUAGCUAACGCGUUAAGUAUCCCGCCUGGGGAGUACGCAGCGAACUGUGAAACUCAAAGGAAUUGACGGGGGCCCGCACAAGCGGUGGAGUAUGUGGUUUAAUUCGAUGCAACGCGAAGAACCUUA
Molecule: ribosomal RNA, 847 nt
Filed under: uncultured Tolypothrichaceae cyanobacterium
Lineage: Bacteria; Bacillati; Cyanobacteriota; Cyanophyceae; Nostocales; Tolypothrichaceae
Description: bacterial SSU rRNA
Rfam family: Bacterial small subunit ribosomal RNA
Source: RNAcentral